AUUUAACGCUGGCGGCAGGCUUAACACAUGCAAGUCGAACGAGUGGCGGACGGGUGAGUAAUGCUUGGGACUCUAGCUUUUGGAGGGGGAUAACUACGGGAAACUGUCGCUAAUACCGCCUACCAUAGUAUGAGCCUAUGUGGGAUUAGGUAGUUGGUGAGGUAAAGGCUAACCAAGCCGACGAUCUCUAGCUGGUCUGAGAGGAUGACCAGCCACACUGGAAUGUAGACACGGCCCAUACUCCUACGGGAGGCACCAGUGGGGAAUAUUGCGCAAUGGGGGCAACCUAACGCGGCCAUGCCGCGGGAAGGAAGAAGGCCUUGGGGUUGUAAAUUUCUUUCGUUGGCGAGGCGUUACCUACAGAAGAAGCACCGGCUAACUACGUGCCAGCAGCCGCGGUAAUUC
Molecule: ribosomal RNA, 405 nt
Filed under: uncultured bacterium
Lineage: Bacteria
Description: partial 16S ribosomal RNA
Rfam family: Bacterial small subunit ribosomal RNA
Source: RNAcentral